RNAcentral lists this long non-coding RNA (444 nucleotides) under Elaeis guineensis (African oil palm). RNAcentral's name for it is "long non-coding RNA (EGUI_LNC079784)". The record is from RNAcentral. Lineage: Eukaryota; Viridiplantae; Streptophyta; Magnoliopsida; Arecales; Arecaceae.
UCAUUGUCCAACAAUGAUCGGAGCGAUAGGGAAGUGGCUAUAUUUGCACAAAGGAGAACCAUAACCUAAUUAGUAAUUGAUUCAUUAAACCUAAAGAUUUAGACUUUAAUCAAAAAGUUUCUCCCACUAUUUUAUUCAAAUUGGUAGCCUCUACCUCCAAUUCGAGGAAUUACCCUAAUUCCUUAGUGGGUACUAGAAUCUACUUAGACUGCACACAAGCCUAACUUUGGUUGGCCAACCCAUGUACAUCUAAGGGUAGGUUCAUAACCAAUUAUUUCUUUAAAUAAUUUCUAGUAAUUUUAAUUUUGCCCCAGAAACCUAAUCAGUAGGCUUUGGCCUCCACUGUAAGGAUCCGAUUAGGUCCAACCAUUAACAUGACCAUACUUGGUGCAUCUAACCAAUAAAUGAUUAAGCCCAACUUUGGUUGGCUCACCUAACUACCAU